Molecule: long non-coding RNA, 2326 nt
Filed under: Corvus moneduloides (New Caledonian crow)
Lineage: Eukaryota; Metazoa; Chordata; Aves; Passeriformes; Corvidae
Description: lncRNA (ENSCMUG00000017004.1)
Source: RNAcentral
AUGGGAAGCCAGGCAAGAUGCAUCGCUCCAUCACAGAUGUGGGACGUCAUGAACAGUGGCUGGCUAGUGGUGGGGGAAGAUGACAUCGACAACUCCAGAUCCACUGCUGGGCUUAGCAGGCUGGGUCCAUCACCGCUCGUUUAAGUCAGUACAGCCUGACUGUGGGGCUGAUUUGGGCCCACACGACACAAAGUCUCUCAUGAAAUGUGUCGAGUCCCUGUCCUUCACGUGCGAGAUGCUGCCCAUGUUACACCUGAGAACUUUGAGCUCUGCGUCAAAACAAUUACGUAUCUUCGUGGAGGGCCAGCUUGAAUGGGGGCUACAAGUCCCAGGAGAAGAGGGGAAAGAGCCACAGGUAUGACAGUAAAAUCCAGUCAGGUUAAAAAAAAAAGCCAAAGACAGCUCCACACGGCGAUCCCGGGUCUUGAGCCAGCACCAGGCGCACACACACAGUGAUGAGACGAGGAUGAGAGCAUCCUGCCAGCUACCACACUGUGUCUUUACAGGUUAGUCAGGACGUAAGUAUAGCAAGGAUUUCCUCCUCUCCUUUUCCCAUUCUUAGGGCCUUGCUAGGUAAUCACUGGAUUCCUUUUAUGGGCAAGGGAAGGUUGCAUCCUGGAUGAGUGGGCACUGGGUGGCAGAAGGUGGCUGUGGUGGCAGUAUGUGGUUCUGCAAUGAAAGAGGAAGGCUGCAAUUUGUACCGGCAAAAGCAGAAUAGCAAUGGUGAGAGAGGUCCUGCUGAAAAAGCAAGGAGGUCUGAGCUAUGAGGCACUAUAGUAGGUAAAUGGAUUAAGGUCAUUUGGAGGCAUGAGGUUCAUGUGGGAUUAGCAAGGAGUCUGACAGGGCAUCUGAGCUUGAGGAAAGGGAAAGCCCUGUUGGCUGAGGCACUGAAUUUCAAUACAGAGGACUGGGCUAAUGGAGUCAUUUCUCUCCAGCUGCUAACUUCAAAGGUGUGAAGGCACAGGCUGCUGACUGCCAGGGUGUUGGGUCUCAGUUCAGUAGUAAACCGACUAGAGUGCUGUCAUGUGCCUAUACAGGCAAGGGAACUUUGCAUGUGCUUCACCAUGUUAAGAAAAAAAAAUGUUUCAGAGUUUGUUCUGGACAGCAUAGCUGAAUCACUGGGUUUAUCCUUUGCCUGAGAGUCAAUGCUCUGUGCCAGGAAAGAGCCCGUUCUUCCUUUAGAGAGGACUGGAAUGGUGUUCCUCAAAGAUGAGACUGACGGGGCUACUGAACUGACAUAAAUCUUGUUAAAGAUACCUGGCACUUUAAGGAGGGCACAGACAGCAGGGCCUGACACCAUCUCUAUACUGUGUGUGGUUGUGUACAUACAGAAAGCAGCUCGAGUAGCUUGAGCCUUUUAGCUGUGUUUUGGAGAACAGCAGAGGUCAGAGUUGCUUCAAAAUUUGAAGUCCUGUGUGUUUCUUACUGUGGCCGUGUACUUGCAGCUCCUGGACCUCAUGCACCCUUGCACACACGAGCAGCCGCAUCUACAGCUCCUGGGCAGAGGAGCAGCAACACCUGGAGACAGCAGCCAGGAAAAUCACAGCGGAUUCCCGAACACUGUGGGUCCAACUGCUGGUGUCCUUUGCUACAGGGUAAAGCCAAUCCUCUGGCAAUGAGAGUGAGCAGAGACCUUCCAAAGUAUGGCAGGAAUGUUGAUGAGCCAGAACUAGCUGCAGAAAGCAGGCAUAGGUUGUUUUUAGGGUGCUGUUGUAAUUGAAAGAGAACGUGGAUCAGAUUUGGAAAAACAUCUUCAGGAUGAGUUAGCUGCCAACAUGUUUCUGGAUCUGGUAGUAGACUGAUAGUCCAUGGCCUGGAACAAGUAUAAUUAUUUUUUUUCACAGAGAGUUUUGAUCUUCAUUAGAUUUUUACUCUAGACUGGGGAAGUGAGGAUGUGACAUUCUCCCUGUGGGCUUCGCCCUAAAUCCCUCUCUUGCAGGUAUUGCUGGCUGUGCUGUGAUGCCCGACGGCAGAUACGGAUGCAAGCACUCACUUACUUGGCAGCGGGCCUCCUGUACAUGACCAUGCAGUCCCUGGAUGCCCUGGAAUGGGGAGGUCCUGCUGUUAACAAGGUAACUGCUAUGCUGGGAUGGGCAUGUGAUCAGGGGCAGCAUUGUGUGCAUUGUGUGCAGGAGUGUUGUCCUGCUUCAGCAGUCUAUUCUUGAGCAGCUUGUUCACUGCAACAGACAAGAUGUUCCCUACUCUGGUCCUGUGAAAAGUUCCUCUCUGCUUAGUGUCUCGUUUGAAAGACAGGUGUCUGCUAAGGAGGCAAGAGCCUCCCUUGGAAUGGAAAUGUAACCCCCUCCCACCAAAUUAUUAUAAUUUU